CCCCUCUUAAGGUCACCUCACCAUCACCCUUUCACUCUGUCAUCCUCCUCACACUAUGUCACCCACCCUCACUGUCACUCACCCUUACUCUGUCACCCAUACUCUCACAUUACGUCACCCCCCCUCUUACUCUGUCAUUCCUCGCUCACCUCAUCACCCUCCCUCUCACACUAUGUCACCACUCUCCGCACUCUGCCACCUCCCUCCAUAUACACUGUCAACCCUCAACACGCUGGCACCCUCCUGCUCUUUUACACUCACCCUGCCACAUUUAUCCCUUUACUCACCCUGUCACCCCCCCCCCAAGGCAAUCAUUAUACACACCGUCAUAAAACAUAGCUUCGCCAUAAACUCAGUGCCAAAGGCAAGUCAGUACACAGACAUACACAUGCUCAGAGAAACAUACAUACAGAUACAAGGAUACUCACUUUCCGAUACACACACUCAGGCAGACAAUGCAACGAUGUAUACAGAGACUAGCUCUGUGUAUCCAGUGCUGCAAGCUCCACCAGGGACGUUUUAGCC
This is a non-coding RNA of Pelobates cultripes (western spadefoot toad), 525 nucleotides long. Lineage: Eukaryota; Metazoa; Chordata; Amphibia; Anura; Pelobatidae. The record is from the annotation of a GenBank genome assembly.